GGCCGAAUGCCGCCCCCAGCUGUGUGCAGUCGCUGGCACAAGUUCAUGGCUCCUGCUCGACUGACACAAGAAUGAAGAAAAAAAGACACCCCCUCCCAUUUGGCAAGGGUGCCAACAUGACCCAGUGGGGAAAGAAGAGUCUUUCACAACUGGCCCUGAAACAACUGGCUAGCCACACGCAAAAGACUCGCAUCGGAUCCCGACCUCCCGCUAUAUAUAAAAAUUAGUUCAAAGUGGAUCAAAGAUCCAAACACAAGAGCAAAACCAUAAAACUCUUAGAAGAACACAGAGGGACAAAUCCUCAUGACCUAGGCUCGGCAAAGGACCCUUAGAUACAACACUAAAUGUAUGAUAACGAAAGCAAACGGAGUUAAAUUGGACUUCUCAAAACUAAAAAGUUUUUGUGCCUCAAAGGACGCCGUCAAAAAGGCGAUAAGACUUCACACGGAAUGGGAGAAGCUAUUUGCAAAUCAUAUAGCUGAUAAGGGACUUGUAUCCAGAAUAUGUAAAGAAUGCUCACCACUCAACAAUAAACGGACAAAUAACCUGAUUUUUAAAAUGAGCAAACGAUAGGAAAAGACACUUUUGCAGGGCAGGUAUGCAGAGCGGCCAGGAAGCACGUAAAAAGGUGCUCAGCCGCAUCGGUCAUGAAGCAAAUGCACAGCAAAACUGCGAUGAGGAGCCACGUCCUGCCCACCGGGAUGGCUAGAAUCCACAAGUCCAGUAAUAAGUGUGGGCAAGCGUGUGGACACAGGGCAGCCGCGCACACGUGGCUGGAGGGAUAGGAAAUGGUCAGGCUGCUCUGGAAAACACUGUAGCCAUUUCUCACGGGAUUAAACAUCGGGGCUUGUCACCUGACCCGGAAGUCCAGUCCUAGGUGUCAGGGAGACACACAAACAAAUGUCACCUGUACGCAAGUGUCGUUAGCAGCAUUAUGCAUGGUGGCCAGAAACAAUCCAGGUUCCCAUCAAGUGAAUGGUAGAUACACAGAGUGUGGUUUGUGCAGACGACGGCGUAUUAGUUAUUCAGCCAUGAAAGGGGAUGAAGGAAGGGCCAGUGAGCAUCCAUCUCCGUAACAGAUAGGAGUUGUCACAAGAGAUAAACGGCGGGUGACUCCACGCCUCUGAAAGUCAAGGGCAGGGAAGUCUAGGAAGACAAAAAGUGGAUUCGUGGUUAUGUAGGGCUGGGCUGGGAGUCAGAGGGUAAGGCUGCCACAGCCAAAGGUUAUGGGGUUUCUUUCCCGAGAUGAUGAAAAUGCUGGUGGGUUUUGUUUUUUUUUUUUUAAUGUUCUAAAAUGACCCUGAAGUACUGUUUACACAUAGCUGUGCGUAUAUGAAAGACCAUUGGGUCACACACUUAAAAUGGGUGGAUUGUGUGGCAUAUGAAUUCUAUCUCAAUAAAGUGCCUUUUAAAAA
Molecule: long non-coding RNA, 1415 nt
Organism: Hyaena hyaena (striped hyena)
Lineage: Eukaryota; Metazoa; Chordata; Mammalia; Carnivora; Hyaenidae
Exons: 2
Source: RefSeq, a predicted model, not a curated record